This 505-nucleotide ribosomal RNA is filed under the name uncultured bacterium. RNAcentral describes it as "partial 16S ribosomal RNA". It matches the Rfam family "Bacterial small subunit ribosomal RNA", at positions 28 to 507 of the family's 1533-position model. The record is from RNAcentral.
GACGAACGCUGGCGGCGUGCCUAAUACAUCCAAGUAGAACGCACAGUUUAUACCGUAGCUUGCUACACCAUAGACUGUGAGUUGCGAACGGGUGAGUAACGCGUAGGUAACCUGCCUGGUAGCGGGGGAUAACUAUUGGAAACGAUAGCUAAUACCGCAUAAUAUUGAUUAUUGCAUGAUAAUUAAUUGAAAGGUGCAAUUGCACCACUACCAGAUGGACCUGCGUUGUAUUAGCUAGUAGGUGAGGUAACGGCUCACCUAGGCGACGAUACAUAGCCGACCUGAGAGGGUGAUCGGCCACACUGGGACUGAGACACGGCCCAGACUCCUACGGGAGGCAGCAGUAGGGAAUCUUCGGCAAUGGACGAAAGUCUGACCGAGCAACGCCGCGUGAGUGAAGAAGGUUUUCGGAUCGUAAAGCUCUGUUGUAAGAGAAGAACGGGUGUGAGAGUGGAAAGUUCACACUGUGACGGUAUCUUACCAGAAAGGGACGGCUAACUACGUG